AACUCCUUGAUGUGCCUUUGAAUAUCUCAUUUGCUAUAUUAAAAAAAAAUGCCAUAUCAAAUUGUUGACAUUUUCUAUUUGCUUUUGCUCAUCAGCAUCUAUCUCUUGACUAGAGUUUGUCUUAUGAGAACCAAAUCUUUUACUUUUUGACUUUAGAGAGGCAAUUAGUAAUAUUCAAAGCAGCUGGAGAAUAAGCAUAAUAAAUACAGAAUAAUUAAAGAUUUUGUGGUGGGUAUUUACACAUGCUUUAAAUUACGGUAGUCAGCAAAAAAAAAGGAAAAGUAAAGGAAACUACUUUCAAACCAGUUUACAGAUUAAAAUUAGUGGAAAGCUAUGAACACAAUUCUGUAGAAACAAAGGAGGUAAGUCAGGGCAGGGACUUGGAUAUGAGCAAACAAGAUACAACAUUGAUAUUUUUCUAAAAACAAGGGGAAUUAGUAGCAAGCCAGGGGGUGUAAGGUUGUACACCUUCAACAGUACACCCCUUUGCUCAGUCCGGUUCUGGGAUUCAUACGCCAAGAUGAAACUAACAGCUCAAGUAGAAAAAUUGCAAGAAGCAGUAUAAAAAGAAAUGUUGAUCUUUCAGUAUCUGCAACUCUGAAUUUAUUUUUAGCUUUUUUUUUUUUUUUCCUUUUAUGUGGCAUUGCAACACAUUAUUGGUGGGAGGGUGUCCUUUCUGUCCAUCUAACAGAGCAUAUGCCACGAAUGUUCCUGUUUUGGAGAGAACAAUGGAAAGCGAAUUUCUUUGUACAAGAUGUAUUUUGUCAGUGGUGUGGGCUUUACAUUACGUUGUUGAGCUUUUGUCAGUAUUAUUUGAGAAGCGUGUAGCUAGUUUAGGAGACAUUGCUGAAAGAGAGGAAACCUAAAUUGCAUUAACAAAUCCAACAAAUUCUAAUAAGAGCUUUUAAGGAAGUCCUAACUAAAGUAAUGCUUUUAGUCUAAUAAUUAUUCUGAGAAUUUAGAACCCAGAAUCAUGGAAUCAUAGAACAGCCCAGGCUGGAAAAGGGUACCUUUCCUGGGAAAGGGUCCCUGGAUGAAAUUAUCUAACACCCCAUCCCGUCAUGCCUUGAAAACCUCCAGUAAUGUGGAUUCUACCACAUCCCCAAGGAGGUUGUUCCAGUAAUUGAUUGUUCUCCCUGUUAAGAUUUCUGUCUAUAUCAGGACCUGUUGCCCCUUGUCAUCUCCAUGUGGCUCCUUGUGAAGAGAGAGCCUCUGUCCUCUAUGCAGCUGUCCUCUAAGCACUGGAAAACUUACAUGAUGGAUUCAUCAUAGCUCUAAAAUAGUUUAAUAAUGACAUUCUAUACGUUAGUCAGUUUGGAUAUUUAUGAACUUACCAACUAAAUUUACAGAAACUCUGUUAGAAGAGACAGAUGGAAAGGAAAAUGAAUGGCUCAGUAUAGGCCAUUUGUCAACAAAUGCACAAAAGUCACUGAGCCAAUAAAACUUGUGGCAAAAUCCCUAAGACAUAAGCAAUAGGAGAAGAAUGACAUUUUAAAAAAGAACCUUUGCAAGAGGGAUUUUUGUUUUUGAAAAUUAGGCAUAAAAUCUGGCUGAGAAUUCUGACGUUGCCUACCUAAUUUAGUGGCAGGAGGUAAUAGAGGCAGCAUAAUAGAGACAUAAAGGCAGAAUGCUGUUUCUAAAUGUUUUGUUUCAAGUUUAAACUGAAAAGUACUCUGUUCUUAAGCAGCUUAUGAGAUCACUGAAGGGAAGAACAGACAGAGCUUGGAUUUAGUUGGAUUUGCCAGGUAAACUGGUUGAUAAGCCAUACCGUAGGCUGGGACCUGUUCUAAAAGUGGAGAACUGUCAGAAUUUAUCCAGUGACAUAUAACAGCAAGAAAUCAGAUAAUUAAGGGUAGUGCUCUGAGAGAAUGCAGAAAGGGGUUAAAGGUGCCAUUUGCCCUGUUGCUGUGACAGUUCGAAUUUAAUCUUUUUGUGUCUGAUGAAAAAUAAUGCUAGGUAAUAUAUGCACAAAAGAAAAAUCUGCUUAAAGCUUUCCGCUUAUGUGUUUUUCUAGAAACUCAUGAUAAUGUCGAGCAUUACUGUAACAUCUUUUAGCAUGCCAUAGUCUUUCCGUUGUAGUUGUUGCUACUGCAGCAUAAAAAUAAUCUUGACGUUUUAGCAACAUGGGUAUGGUUUCUAGCACUCUAUAGGCAGGAAUAUUUCUUGGUUAAUUGGUUUUUAUUUUUAAAAAUGAAAUGAAAUGAUCUCUUGUCUGUGAUCAGUGGCAAUUAAAAAAGAGAGAAGACUGAAACUUCAUAUGGAACAUUUCAUCUCUGUCUAUGUAUUAUGCCACAGUUGCUUCAGUGCUACGAUUUAUUAGAUUUUUUUUUAGUUAAAAUAGGCAAGUUACAGAAAAAUAUCACCUACCCAAGGCAUAAUUUUCAGUUUGUACUGUCUGAAGGGAUUACAGGAAACAAAUUGUACAUUUUGUUUCAUCUUAAAUUCAAAUUAUUUUAUAUCCCUACAAUUUUGUUUUUCAGUGGUAUGAAAUGCGAUGAAGAUUGUAGAGGUAGCUUCUGGUAGCAUUUGAAUUUGACAGCUGAAGGGUGGAUAAUUGGAACUUUUGUCACCUUGCAUUGAUUUUGGAGCAAGCCUAGUAUUUUGACUCAAGCACACGAAGCGAAUAUUCAGUUGAAAUAACUUGCAGAGGAAUAAUUAACAAUUCUGACAUUUAAGAUGUCAUUCCAGGGUUUCAGAGUUAGCAACUGAGGAGAUGACAUGGGAGCUCACAUUACUCGCUUGCGUAAGAAUGCACUCAGAUAGAGUGCAAUACUUUAUUGGUUAUAUUAAGACGGUAUUUUCAGAUUAUGCUUGGAUGAUCAUGCACUCUAACCUGGUUUAUUUCUUUUACUAUUGACUCAUGCAUUUAGUUUUCUAAUGACUUGAAUGUUUCUAUUUUUAGAAUUAGUUCUGGGGUACAACUGUAGAGCAAUUAAAGCAUAUUGCUAUGUUGCCCUCUACAGAAUCCCAUGAUGAAUGAUUUGGUUUGUCUGUCAAAGUUAAGUCCUCUUUUGACGUGACUGAAAAGGGGUUUUUGGUCAGUCGGCUUAGGGAGACUCGGUGGCAGGCAGAUAUGGUAAUAGCUCUGUCACUCUCUUGCUUGUCUCUAGAAACAGAAAACAGUGCUUUUUAACAAUCCAACAUCUAAAGCGAACCUUUUGACCUGGAAAGUCAUUAUUUUUAUAGCAGAAAUAACAGCGCAACAUUUGCUUUUCUCCUUUGCCUUUUGCAGGCUCCUGAUUGUCUACAUGCUCAGGGCUGUGUUUGGGCUGAGCAAAUACAGUACCUACUUGUAUAUCAAGUUCUGCUUAACCGUUGACAGUUAAUGCUGAUGAAACUUCAGUUAAUAUGAGUGCUCCUCGCAGGGCUGACUGCGUUCAGAUAUAACUUCAGCACCUGCAGUGGAAAUUUUGCGUCAGCUUGCUGGAAAAAGCAAGUGCAAGCAAGGCUUUCAGCUAACAAAUAAGCUACAUUUUCUAAAAGCUGAAAAUGAGGGUUAGAGUGCUCUGCCACUCUUCAGCAGAAAAGCCAGACAUCUUCAAAGCAUGGAGCCUUAACCUUGACCUUCCCUCACGACCUGGACGCCACCAUCUCAUUAAGACCACAUUGCAACUACAUCUCAGAUAUCACUAAAUAAUAUAUUGUGAGCAUUAUACUGUUAUCCAAAAGAAUAACUGGUUAGAUAUGAGCCACAUUCCAUUUAUUCUUUUGCUGAGACUAGCUGAUCAAAGUAGAGGGAAAAAAAGUAUAGGAUUCAUGGAGAGACACACAAACACACGUGUACAGACACACAAAGAAGUGCACGCUAAAUCUUACACCUGUACACCUGGGCUAUUGGCCACAGCAAAAUAUAGCUGGAGAGGCAUGACUCCCAAAGGAUCCAAUCUUCCAACUCUGUAAGUGCAGCAAAACAAAUUCUACACCUGAUUCUGGCUUCUGCCCUUGGAUAGCUUAAGGGUUGCUUGGCCAAGCAACAAGCUGGACGCUUGUGGGAUGUUAGGCGGAAUUCUCCUUGAAGCAGCUGCUCUCGCCAACCAGAUGCUCAGUUUUUCCUGACUGGAACAUUCAAACCUGCCUUCUGCCUUUUGCAUGUUCCAGCCCAGCCUUGGCCAGGUCUCCAGACAAAGCAACAAGGAUACAAACAGCAAAGACAGUGUAUAUCCAGGGAACAGAUUUCUUAUACCACUAGUAUCAAAGGCUGACUUUACUUAAGCAUUGGCAUUUUUUUUUCCUCCUGAAUGGCAAGGAUUUGAGCCAGUUGUUCAAUAGCAUGAGAAGGAGCAUCACUGUUGAAUUUCAAGAACUUCAGCCUCUGGUCAGUUGCCUUUUCCAUUGCCCUUUGUAGGAAACAGCAAUUAGAUCUGUUGUUCGCUCAUGUGCACACUUUGUAAGCUGAUAACAUUGCUGAAAAGAGGUGACAAGAAAGCAGGAAAGAACUCAGCCCUGUUUUUAUUCUCUCUGGCCUUUGAGGAAAGAGAUUUAUUUUCUGCUUCCUCCUCCCUAUAUGAAACACAAGACUUGAGAAAGAAGAUGGACCUGUAUCAGCCUCCACAGACAUCAGAGGGUCCUUAGUGCAUAGAGGUACACUGCCUCUGGAGCACGAGGGGGUAAUGGAUCAGCUGAAACAGAGGACUGAGCGCUUACAAAAAGGAAAAUCAACCCUCAUUUCAAACUUUUGUAACAGACAAACGAUAUUCAGGAAGUAAAGAAGAAGAAUACAGUCAAACUGUGUACAAUUUUUCAAUUAUAUCAACUUUAUAAAAUAUGUAUUGCAUACAGCGCAUGAAGAUGUUCUACAUAAGUGCUUAAGAAAGUGUUGGUAUGUACCUGUUGAGUGUUUGGCAAACUUGGUAUUGGUUGCUUUGAAUGAUAUGGACCACGUCAAGAUGUCAUUGUUUCCAGAAUAACAUUCUUCAUCAGAGAAAAGUGGCUGCUUGUUCAAGCCACUGUGAGUAGAAGAAUUCAACAUCAAUGAGACCGAAGGAAAUCAAAACCAGGAGCUGGGUUCUGCAGACCUGUGAGAAAAGACUGCUCUGAGGAGAAAAGUCUUGUAUCCUGAUCCUUGCUGCUUGUCUUAAUACAUUUUAACAAAUUUCACUUAAAUAUAAAAAUACUUCCUAAAACCUUAUCAUUGGAUUACAGAGCUUGGAAUAUAAAUAUUCUUUAAAUAUAAAGAAGUGACAGUCCAGUGGUACAGUGCAAUCUAAACAGGUGGAAUAGACAAAGAUGUGAAAGAAAAUGAUAAUUAAUUAGUAUGACAGUUACAUGGAGCCUGUUGAUUUUAGCUCCUGUUUUAUCCACCUUUGAAUAAACUUUUCUAAAGAGGAACUCUGGAUUUCUUCAUUUUACUUGGGGAACGUGGCAAAAUUAUAGGUAAAUGUGUUUGAACGUGUGGGGAAUAUUUCUUCUUUAUAAGUCAUUAGUCUGUCUAGUCUAUAUUGCCACCCAGCUGUGAUCAGAGAAACUAAGGCAGUACAGAGGGCUUGAA
Molecule: long non-coding RNA, 5488 nt
Organism: Cygnus olor (mute swan)
Lineage: Eukaryota; Metazoa; Chordata; Aves; Anseriformes; Anatidae
Exons: 5
Source: RefSeq, a predicted model, not a curated record